CAGUAGCCGCGGUAAUACGUAGGGGGCAAGCGUUAUCCGGAUUUACUGGGUGUAAAGGGAGCGCAGGCGGUCUGGCAAGUUGAGAGUGGAAGCAGGGGGCUCAACCCCCUGACUGCUCCCAAAACUGUUGGACUGGAGUAUGGGAGAGGCAGGCGGAAUUCCUAGUGUAGCGGUGAAAUGCUCAGAUAUUAGGAAGAACACGGGUGGCGAAGGCGGCCUGCUGGACCAAAACUGACGCUGAGGCUCGAGAGCGUGGGGAGCGAACAGGAUUAGAUACCCCCGUAGUCCCUGUCCUUAUACA
This 301-nucleotide ribosomal RNA is filed under the name uncultured bacterium. Its description in RNAcentral is "partial 16S ribosomal RNA". It matches the Rfam family "Bacterial small subunit ribosomal RNA", at positions 509 to 809 of the family's 1533-position model. The record is from RNAcentral.